UACGGGGGGGGUAAGCGUUGUUCGGAAUUACUGGGCGUAAAGGGCUCGUAGGCGGCCAACUAAGUCAGACGUGAAAUCCCUCAGCUUAACUGGGGAACUGCGUCUGAUACUGGAUGGCUUGGAUUCGGGAGAGGAAUGCGGAAUUCCAGGUGUAGCGGUGAAAUGCGCAGAUAUCAGGAGGAACACCGGUGGCGAAGGCGGGUCUCUGGGCCGAUACUGACGCUGAGGAGCGAAAGCGUGGGGAGCGAACAGG
This 253-nucleotide ribosomal RNA is filed under the name uncultured bacterium. RNAcentral's name for it is "partial 16S ribosomal RNA". It matches the Rfam family "Bacterial small subunit ribosomal RNA", at positions 524 to 776 of the family's 1533-position model. The record is from RNAcentral.